GGCAAAGACCAGACGCAGCGGCGUAUGCUGUGUACAGGUACUCAAUGAGUCAAAAGUCUAAAGUACAAAAAAGUAGAGCCUCUACCAAAUUCUCCAUAAGCCAUUGGUGUGUUUCCCAUUACCCAGGGAGUCAUUUAGGUAAUUAAGUAUGCCUGGCACAGAGAAUACAAGUAUGGACAAUCAAACCCUUAUUCUCCAGAGGUUGGUACAGAAGAAAAACAGGAAGAAAAAUAUGGAUGAGUUAAGUGCUGUGUUAGAGAAAUGAACCAGGUGCUAUGAGAAUACCAAUGAGAAAAUUCAGAAUUUGUCUAGAGCUUCUAAUUUAAGGCUUGACAAAUAUGAUGAUUUCAAAGUUACACCAUAAGGCCAAAGGAGUCUACUAGCAGAUGGGAGGAGGGAAUGCUAUUGAACAGUGUAGUGUAAAAGUGUUGGGAACCUGGGGAGAAAAUGAGUUUGUAAUAAUGAAAGAAGUGUUUCUGAAAUGAUUGAAAACAUAAUCUUUGAGGAAACAGAUUUCAAACAUUCAGAAAAAAAAAAAAACAAAAAAGAUUCACAUUUCAUCAUGUCAAAUAAAUAUACUAAAGAGAAAACAGGAUUUUAUUAAGCAGUCUCCAGGAAAAGAAUUUGAGCUACUGAGAACGGAAAGGAGGGGAUAUAUGGAGCUGGAGAAUCAAGAAAGCCUCCUGAAAAAAAUGUGGCGGCCAUGCUUGUUCUCCUGAGCUUUGCCUCGUGGUGUCCUUGUCUUUGUGUCUCUCCUUCAGAGCUGGUAUGAAGACUAACUUGAUGCCCAGUGACUUCAUCUGACCAGCCCUUCUACCGCCGCAUCUCAGUGGGUAACCUCUGUUCCUAACAGACUAGUGCUCCGAAGAGGCCAUACUCAUUUAUAACUCUAAUCGUGUGACUACCAUGCCUGCAAGGUCCUUCUCUCAGACCUCUACUGUCUAAAUCUUACCAUUGGAGAAGGAUGAGAUUCUCAAAGCACAAAUCAGAUCACACAUUAAAACCUUCCUAUGGUCUUCCCUGCUAUUAGACAA
RNAcentral lists this long non-coding RNA (1034 nucleotides) under Cricetulus griseus (Chinese hamster). Its description in RNAcentral is "lncRNA (ENSCGRG00015031548.1)". The record is from RNAcentral. Lineage: Eukaryota; Metazoa; Chordata; Mammalia; Rodentia; Cricetidae.